UGCCAGCAGCCGCGGUAAUACAGAGAUGGCAACCGUUGUUCGGAAUCACUGGGCUUAAAGCGCACGCAGGCGGACGAUUAAGUCAGCUGUGAAAGACCACGUCUCACACGUGGGAGGUCAGCUGAUACUGAUAGUCUUGAGGGUGUCAGGGGAGAGUGGAAUUCCUGGUGGAGCGGUGAAAUGCGUUGAUAUCAGGAGGAACGUCGGAGGCGAAGGCGACUCUCUGGGACACGCCUGACGCUGAGGUGCGAAAGCUAGGGGAGCAAACGGGAUUAGAUA
This 279-nucleotide ribosomal RNA is filed under the name uncultured bacterium. RNAcentral describes it as "partial 16S ribosomal RNA". It matches the Rfam family "Bacterial small subunit ribosomal RNA", at positions 506 to 784 of the family's 1533-position model. The record is from RNAcentral.